AAAAGAAGAAAGAGUUGUAAGAUAAUGGUUAGUCUUCACCCGUUGAAAGAAGACUGUUAGUGGAUACUAAUUACCUCAACGAAGAAGAAAUCGAAAGUAAAUAUAUGUCACGACAACCGAAUCACUAUAAAUCCGAUAUGAUUUCUUUCUAUAUCAUUUAUUUUAUGCUUUUCAUUCUCAUCGCCCACUAAAUUACUUGCUCGCUGCCCUCAAUCACUUACAUUUACAACUUUAUACGGUAAAGUCUCCUACCUCAUCUUCUUAUUGUAAAUAGCAAUGAAAGCACAUGCCAAGCGUCCGACUGAGCCUGAACUAAAAUUACCUUUUUUGUAAUUAUUUAAUUAAAAUUAAUAUAUAUAUAUAUAUAUAUAUAUAUAUAUAUAUAUACAUAUAUAUAUAUAUAUAUAUAUAUAUAUAUAUAUAUAUACAUAUAUAUAUAUAUAUAUAUAUAUAUAUAUAUAUAUAUACAUAUAUAUAUAUAUAUAUAUUUAUUUAUUUAUUUAUUUAUAAUUGUGAACCAUCGGUGCAGUUCGAGCUAGAACCAAACCCAGAUCUAAUUGGGAUUUGAUUAGGAACAUCCGUUCGGAUUCGAUUUAGAACCCACCAAAGUGUUGCGCCGGUGAAACCUAUAUUAAUUGUCAUCGGCAUGGAAACAUUGCCCAUGACGCAUCGGCAUGGAAACCUUGUAUUAAAGGCAACGAAUGUAUAAAACGAGAUGUAGCUACUAAAAUCUGUGGCAUGGAAUCUGAAAGAAUUCCUCACUGUUACCCACAGCUUCACAUACCAUACACAAGAUUCACAUAAGAGACAAAUAAAAUGGACUAAUAGAGGUACAAUGUGCUAUACAUAAGAGAUUCCUCGAGUACAAAGACAUUUCCAGUGAAUCCACCUGUUGGGAUAGCCUCUAGAGGAACAUUUGAUAGCCUCUAUAACCUGUGACAUGCGAUACAUCAACACAGUCUCCCUAACCACAAUCCUAAAAGAGUUCUUCCGCGAAUUGCUCUAGGGAAAUAUUAAUCAAACUGAACGGGCUUCUUACAAACCUUGAAGAAAUUGGACUCCAAUAAGAUUCAUAAUUUCUUUGUGUCUAUAUCUCUUCUGUAACUUGAGUAAAUCUGCCCUUCCCAAUCAUGUCACAUCAAACGGUUAGACUUUGCAAACACCAAUGUGAUUGAUAUGCAGAGAUCCUGAAUAUAUUCAUCUAUAAUCUUUUCCCAAUGUUUGCAAACCUUCUCGCAACUCCAAAAAUAACAGCCUUGGUCAACAGGCCAUGGUCAAGAGUGCAUGCAAUGGCUACAGCACCACCAACUACCAGGAACUUGGGUAUGCUACUGGUCCAGUUCUUCUGUUUCUCUGCUUCUACAACAUUGCCCGAUAAAUCAGUGAUGGUCUCAAAUGAUCUCAACUUGUCGGCAUCAAAUUUGGUGUUAAUUUGUGCCAUGAAAGCAAACCGAGACAAUGGCUCAUUGGACCUCCUGGCAAGUUGGUAAGCACACAGGCCAGGUUCGAUCUUUCGAACACAACUCCACAUCCCCUGCCGAACUCCCAGCUUUGCAAUUUCCCAUGGGAUGCCCAUAUCCUCGUGGUGAAACAGAAGAACUUCGCAGGCAGUCAUCCGGCCAUCUCUUCUGGAUUCAGCUGGAUAUGCAAAAGCAUGAAGACAUCCAUUGGUUGUUUGAAGGGUAAAAGAAACUUGUAAGACAACAAUUUGUUAUCUACUUGUUGUAGGAGAAAAAAAAGAAGGAAAUAAAAAAAGUAUAGCUCUGCACCUGCACGAAUGCACCAGCUGGAAUAAUACAAGUCAACCCGUCUUGGUUUGUUUCGCCUAGGCACAGCAGGGCGUGGCACUCCCUGAAAGAUGUAAGAGAUGACCAAAUUUAAAUGUCACUCUUUCACCUUAAAAGGAAAUGUAUGUUCCCAUUUCAGUGGGCAUAAGCACAGAUUUGUAAAAGCUCAAUUUUUAUUAGCAAAGCCCACAUCACACUGGUACUCACUCAAAAUGCAGAAAAUGAACAAGCAUGAUCCAGCAAUUGUAAAAUCACAAAUACAUAUCUAAAUACCCUGAAGGUGUUGAAGAAAGCAGUAGAUCAAUCUGCAAAUAACAAAGGCUGUACCAGGAAAGAUGGAUAAUAGCUUGUAAGCAUAAUUCCAAAAACUUAAUGACUAAAUAUUCUCCUAAAACAGAAACCUUCUUCUUUCUUGGAUAAAGCACAAGCAAGUUCUGUGCUAGUAAUUCAACUCAGGCGAUAAAGUAGGUGCUUCACUUCCUUCACUUCCCUCCACUUGCCUACUUUAAUGACUAAAUAUUCAGCACCUACUUCACUUUCCUCUGUCAAAUUCUGUUGCUUGCCCAAUAAAGUAGGCAAUAAAGCACAAACAAGCUCCAUUCAGUUUUGUCCAAUAAAGCAUGGAUAUUAAUCAUCGAAAUACCCAUAAGUAGAUACGUUUGAUCUUCAAAAACAAAGGGGGCAAGAUACAACCUAACAACCGUUAAAAGACAAUAAUAAUAUCACAAGCCACAGAUCUUGACACUUAAAAGAGAGCUAGUUAUCGAUUGUAGUACAGAAACAAAAAACCUAACAAGCAUUGUUAACCUUUUCAUCGGAAUAAAAGUUACUCCUGCAAGUAAAAUGAUCCAAAUUUAUAAGAGUUAAGAUGCAAUAAAACCUAUCCAUCUGUAUAUUUAUUAAAGCUGAUCUAUGCUCAAUACAGUCUCAAUCAUAUUAUACAUUUAAAAUCACAAUGCUUUGGUGCUUUCAGAAAAAAUAUAAUUUUAAUAUCCAUUUUGAUUUAGUGGUUAAGAACCAAUUAUUGAUUGGUGGAUUAUCUGCAGUGCUUAGUCACUAGCACUGUGAUGACCUCUAGUACCAGUCCCUUAAACUAAGAUGACCCACAGCAUGAUUCACUUCCACUUUUCUGUACUUGAAAUUUUACUUUGGCACACCAACACCAUUGGCCCAUUUUCCUUCUCCCUCUUACAGUUACAUGUUUUUCUUUUCCUUGUUUGAAACAAGGAUUCCUCUUGUUCUCAUCGAUGGGGCUUAUAGUACUAGAUGUGGCUUUCAUGAAGUUGAUUAUAGCAAAACUCACCCUGCACAACAUGGAUCGUGUGCUUCUCUCUUCUCAAUUCUACCCGGAUUCAAGUCGGACGUAAAGAGCCAUUGCAAAGACCUUGUUUCACUUAAAGAAAGGUUUUUGUCAUUUCACAAGAAGAAGAAAGAGUUGAGAUUAUAAGUAACAAUGAGCAUACAACACAUCAAUCUUAGGUUUUUUUUUAACUCUCUAUAAAAGAUGUCACUAUCUUACACAUUGAAGUGUGACCCAAUCAUAUGCCAUCCUUCCAUCAACGACAUUCAGAAAAAUAAAAUCCUCACAAGAAGUUUCCACAAAGUACUUCUGUAGUGUCCCUAAACAAAUUGAUUUUUCAAUAAUUUUCCAAAAAAUUAGAUACCUUAAUGAAGUAGCCAUUAUAUAUACUCAUGUUUACUGGAUUUUUCUAAUUAAAGUUUCUUAAGGGGGGUUCUCUUUUCUUUUUUUUUUCUUCCCGUAGGUCUAUAAGUUGUCACACCAUUCUGAUUCAUCAAUUGAAACAAUUGCAUCGUGUGUUUUCACAUCCUUGUUGAAGUACCAGGUAGUCCAUUUUAUGAUUCAAAAUCGAUUACGUGCAAAAAGCAAAGGCAUUCAAAGAUGAUGAGAUGCAUUCCCAUGACAAAGAACUCUCAUAUGCAUACUUGUCAAAGUACCAUGUAAGUUCAUUUCAUGCUUCAAAAAUUAGUAAUUGCAAGAAGCAAUUCCAUCUGGAGAUGAUAACAUUCAUCCGGAACAAAGAACUAUUAUGUGCAUCCAUACCUUUGUUAUGCAGUAGUAAGUUCUUCCUGACUCCCAUAUGCGGCGACCAAUAAUAUACUCCCUGUUACUACAAAAGAAAGGAAACUGCGGACAAGAAGAAAAACAAUAAACAGACAUGGCAAGCAGUAAAAGCAGUUCUUACAACUGUAAGAGAAUCCAUCGGUUCUCAUACCUUGCGAACCCAUUGAACUACCAUCGUCCCUGUUGUCGGGCACUCCUCCAGUGUGGUAUGCUCGAGGAGCAUAUCAUCCCAGCCAUUCUUGAUCCGGAACUCAUCGUCCCAGAAGAAGUCCCGCACGAUUUCGGGCGUCACAUCCUCAUAUAAGGUGCUGCUGCGGUACUGCGGUGGACCAGUCUGGCAUGAACGCGACGAAUUAUGGCUCAGUUGCGCGUUAUCACAAACCACUAAGCAACAAUUUCAUGAGUCGAUCACAUACGCAACUCAAAUACAUGUAUGGUUCUAAAUCCUACCUCGGGAUCUCUCCGCCAUGCUUGAUAUCUCAUGUUAGGCAACGACUUGUCCAUCAUCUUGUGCCACUCCGGCCCCCCAUCCGUCACCUCCACCAGCCGGAACAGGUGCUGCAAGUCCUCCUCGGUCACCGCCAGCUUCUCACUCCUCCUGCAAAUCCCAUAAACCGACUUGACCCGCGAACAAGGGAGAGGAUUCACAGCACAACUACAAGUCAACGUGAAGACCCAAUCUACCUUUCUUCGACCGCCUUCAUUGACGGCGCCGCCGAAUGGGGGCCAAGCGAAGGCGCAGACUCGGUCUUCACCGCGCCGCUCAGCCCGGCAGCCCACCCGGGCCGCCACGCCCACCCUAGCAGAAGCCCGGCGAAGACGGCGAUCCAGAGGGGGGCCACAAAGGCCGCGAGCUCCACGGCAACAUCUGCGACCGUGGGCCUCCGCAGGAUCUCAACCAGGGCUUCCAGAAUCAGCACCAUGGCGCAGCAAAGGAGAAUCGGAUUCGGAUAGGGAUAGGGAUUAGAGCGGAAGAAGAGGAGACGGAGAGGGAGAGCGAGACGGAGUGGUGGAGGAGAGCGAGAUUAGGGGAUGAGGAGAGAAGGCGUCUCGAUUGGGAUUAGCCCCGCGACUCACCACCACCGCGUGUUUUCUUAGCAGGGAGGAUGGAUAACAAAUAUGAGGCGAGUCGUCUUGACGAUUCGCUAGUAAACGCGGAUCCCAAAUGGGUCGGUGAAAGACCAAAUCGACCGCUUCGAUAAUAUUGCGUUGCUAGUUUGGACUGCCUACCCACGUUUGCCUCCUCAGAAAAGGAUUAAUAGGACGGAGUAGAGUAGUCAAAGAUUUUGACCGUGACCGAUUUGGCAUCCCUCCCUACUCCAUGUUACCUGUUUAUUAUUUUCAUUAACAUCUUAGACUAUGUCGGAUAUCAAAAAUAAAAUAUUCAAGUGUCAUACUUUGAGAGCUUAAUUUUCAAAUUAACUAUCCACGAUCGAAAUAGAGACUUGAAUACUCAUUCGAAGAUUAAGAUGAACUUAAGUAACGUAUUACACGAUCGAUCAAGACUAAGAUGAGUAGGAUUUUCGUGUAAUCUUUUGAAAAAUAGAGAUUAAGAAAGGUUUAAAAAAUAGAGAUUUUUAUUUUUUUAUAUAAAUUAUACAUUAAUCAUCAUACCUAAAGAUGAUUAUUUAAUUAUGUUCAAAAUAUACUAACCACCGUAAUAUUUCCUUGGAUGAUAAUAUUUGAAUAUAAUGACGAAAAAGUAAGCGGUGACCACAAAUAAUAACCGUACCGACAUUGGACUAAAUAUUUUUACUAUCGCACACUGCCUAUAUUGCAUCACAACAAUUGGACAGCCCACUCUGCACAUAUAUUACAAUAGUAUAUAAUUGGGGACAAAUUUAUUGAGCGUGCCAAACGUGACCACUCUUCACAUAAAUAAAUCUAGUCCGUGACCUUUGUUUGAAGUAGUACCAUUCUGUCUAAUAUCUUAUCAUAUCAUAUCAUAUCAUAUAUUUAUAUAUAUAUAUAGAGGAAACAAGAGCUUGUAAAUUAUGUACGACUUGGGGGAUUGCACCUAACGAUGUCAAAAGAUAUGCUUUUCUAUGAGGACGAGUUACGAGUCGUUCUUUCUCCGAAGGAGGGUCGCAUUUGCACUUUUUUUUGCGUGUGGACUUGUUCGAGGUCAAGAGUUAGGAACUUGGCUUAACUUUUUGACUUCAUCGAAUCGUGGCUACUUGCAUUGAUUGAAGCGAAAAAGGGAUUUGGAUGACUCGAUCAAGCUUGUUAACGAGUAAAUCAGAAUUUGUUUGUUUGAAUAUAUGGGAUUAUAAUUUAAAGGCAAUCGAGAUUUCAUCUUGAGUUAGUCUAUAAGUUAGAUUUUUCUACACUUGUCCAUUUUUUAUGGUUUUCAAACUUAUAAAAUUCUGUCGAGAGAGUAUUUCGAUAAUAUCCCUCCAAUGUUUAAGUUAAUUAAGAUUGUAAAAUUUAGUUUAUGCUUUGAAUUGUAUUCUAAAAAGUGUUCAACAGCAUACUUGACUAGCCUCUUUAUAGUGAACUUUUAGUAUUGUUACUCUCAUGAUUAAUGUCGAUUUUGGGAAGCUAUUGCUGAGAAACUUGAUCAUGACUUUGUCGCAUCGAAUCCGAGAUGCAAUAAUGUUUAACCAAUUCAAUCUCAUCGGUCAUAUAUCAAAUAUAUGACACUAAGAUAUCCAUCACGUGGUGUUAAGGUGUCGACCAUAUGUCAUCUACGUUCUAAUCAUACGAAUCAUUAGCUUUUGAAUCACUAUUGGUGAAUCAUUCUCUUUGUACGAAACCUAAAACACAUUUCAAUGACAUGCACAGUUGAAUGAUUUAAAAUAUAUUUUGAUGACACACAUAAUCAGAUCAAUCUAACGUUCAUUUUGAUGAUUGUGUCGCCCAAUCAUCCUAAAGUUUAUUUUGAUAAUAGAUAUAGCUUAAUCAGCCUAAAACGAAUCUCAAUGGCAUACACGAUCAUAUCAAUGUAAAGUACAAAUCGACGUAGAGUAUAUUUUGACGACAUGCAUAGCCAAGAUGGUCAAACGCACUAAAUAACUUAUGAUUCGAUUUAGUAUCGAUUGUUUAACAAGAGUCACUUCCUGACUUGACCUCAUCAAACUCUACCAUGUGAUAAGAAUGUGACGAUACCUUAACACCACAUUGUCAACAACUUAGCAUCAUAUAACUGACACCUUGGUACCAUGUGAUUAGUAUCUCAUUACCACGUGAUGAGUAUGUGGUUGACAUCUCGGCAUAAAACUAAAUUAGUUAGAUCUCACUAUAUUCUGGAUUCGAUAUGACCUAAUCAUUGACGUUAAUCAAAAGAGUAAUGAUAUUAAGAGCCCACUGUAAAAAGCUCACAAUACAGCUCAAAGCAUAGGACCAACCUUUCGACCCCACAGCUUAGGCAUCGUCGAAGAUGACGAUAACACUGGUUUAUAGGUUAAUAUUGGAAUCAUCAGAGUGUGGUGAUAGCUGAAACAAAUCUAAAUUAAGUUGUGACUGCACAACUUAAAUCUCGAUCGGCUCCAAAUCAUCAUUAGCUUGGUCAAUUAAGUUGUGACUGCACACCUACAACUUGAUUUCCAUUGGUUAACGAGUUUAUAGUCGAUCGAUAACUGCAUGUCACGUUUGGAACUUUAGUCAUUAUUUUCUCAGCAUUAGAUUCCUCCUUGAGGCGUGUAAUAUAUUAUUUAGAAUAACGUAUGUUAGUAUGACGGAGUAUCGGAAACACAGGCUAGAAUUUGUGUUGGGACAAUGUGUUUGUGAGAAUGCAUGACAACAAUUUCAUACGGUAAGCUCUGCUUUAUAUAGCUUUCUUUUUUUGAUCGCAUGACUUGGCUCGAAUAGAGUCACAGUACAGCUUUGUCUGUUUGCUCCAUGACAUGUUCCGAGUGGAACCACAAAAUGGUACNNNNNNNNNNNNNNNNNNNNNNNNNNNNNNNNNNNNNNNNNNNNNNNNNNNNNNNNNNNNNNNNNNNNNNNNNNNNNNNNNNNNNNNNNNNNNNNNNNNNNNNNNNNNNNNNNNNNNNNNNNNNNNNNNNNNNNNNNNNNNNNNNNNNNNNNNNNNNNNNNNNNNNNNNNNNNNNNNNNNNNNNNNNNNNNNNNNNNNNNNNNNNNNNNNNNNNNNNNNNNNNNNNNNNNNNNNNNNNNNNNNNNNNNNNNNNNNNNNNNNNNNNNNNNNNNNNNNNNNNNNNNNNNNNNNNNNNNNNNNNCGAAGACGAAGAGGGCAACACGGCACGAGGGCUUAUAUAAUGAUAGGAGAAACGGGGGGGAAGAAGGCACGGAGGAAUCCUAAUUUGCUCAGGGGAAGGAAAAGAGAGGCGUGUGGAAUCGUCGAGAUGUUGGAGAUUCACGAGCGCUAUCGAUCGAUGCUCAUCAUUCGGUCCGGCAUCGGAAUCGAUUUCGUUACCGAGUCUUCAACCGUCGACAUCAUUAGAAAUUAUAGAACCGACUUUUGGGUUAUGCAAUUGGGACUCGUGCCAUAAUCCAAUAGGGACAACGAUUUCGGUGAUGGAGUCGUGCCGAGGCACGUGGAUCGCGAUUCCGAGGAAUCAUUUGAAUUCUCACACGCUGUGUACAUCUAAUUCUUUCACAUCCCCCUUAAAAUCUCAAAUUAAAAAGAUAUGAUAUUCCAACAUGUUAAUUUCCUAUAGUAAACGGACAAAAUAUAUGAUUUUUUUUAUAAUGUUAAAAAAUAUAUAUGUAAAAUAUAUUAAUUAGCUUAUCUAAUACAUAACUUGAAAUUUUAUUAUGUGCAGCGUUCCUCCGAUGCGCACUUCAUCCCGACAUGGCUCGAGAUUUGUACGUCCUGCCCUCGGAGGUGCUGCUCAACAAGUCCGUCCAAUCCUUAAUCUGGGUAAGUACUUCUCCUCUUUUCUUGUUUGGGUUUGUUCAUCUGACGCCGCCCUUUCUAACCCGUCUUUCCUUUUGCAGGGUCUCCAUUAUGCGACGGCCCUGAUGGACAGGGUGCGUGACGUCGGCCGGGUUAUCGGAGGCCUCGUCAACCGCAACGCCGAGCUCCACCGCCAGGUCGAGGAGGUCCGAGCCGGGGCCGGCCCGGAGGCUGUGGCGGCCGUUGAGAAGCGCGUGGCGGAGUCUGAGGCGGAGGCGGCUCGCCUCAGGUCGGAGCUCGAGGCCGCCAAGAAAGCAAACGAGGAGCUCCAGAAAACAAUAAGGGUGGAGCGGACCGAGCUCCUUCUGUUGAAGACGGAGGUGAAAGCCCUCAGCAAGAAGCUGGAGGAGGCGAAGGCCGAGACGAGAGCGGCCUCGGAGGCAUUGGCGGAGGAAGCCCGUCUUCGACCCGCCAAAGAUUAGGAGCUCCUUGAGGCGUAUAAGAAGUCCGAGGGGUUCGAACUCGGGCUAACGCGGACGGGGCGGGUAUCCUUUGAGUACGGAUACCGAGUCGCCAUGUCCCAUUUCCAUGCUCGUCACCCCGGCCUCGAGGUGGAGGAGGACCCCUUCGCUCCUCACCCCGAGGAUCUAGGGGUAGACAUGCCCGAGGACGUCCCCUUUGACGACCGCCUGGUUGUCCCAUAGUAAUAAUAAGGAAGGGUCCUAUAUUUUAAGGUGCUAGUUAAUUUUGUAAGUCGGGAUCGAGUCUUGUAAGUCGGGGUCGAGUCCUGUACUCUUAGUUUUGAAAUAUAAAGCAAAUUUUUCUUCUCGUGUGUUGCUUGUCUACUUCUUCUUCCUUUAGGCGAAAAAGACUUCCUCUUCCCUUGGGCGAAAAAGCUCCUUCCUUAGAUGAAGAACUUCCUCUUCCCUUAGGCGAAAAGUUUCUUUAUUUAAGCGAAGAACUUCCUAAGGUUCUGGACGUUUCAUGUUCUCGGCAAGGGAGAACCGUCCAUUGUCGCGAGCCGGUAUGUACCCGGUCAGACUAUUUUGUCGACCCGAUAAGGUCCCUCCCAUUUGGGGGCCAUCUUCCCCCUCGCGCAGGUCGGGUCGCUGACCUCGGUAUUACGUAGGACUAGGUCGUCUAACUUAAUCGGUCGGGGCCGUACCUUCCGGUUGUAGACCCGAGCGACAGCUCUUUUGUAAGAGAGGGCCUUCAGGUGCGCGUUGGCACGCCGCUCCUCGAGCAAGUCGAGGCCGGCUCGAAGUCCUUCGUUCAUGAUUUUCUCGUCGUAGUUUCUCAUCCGAAGGGUGGCGAUGGCUACCUCGGGUGGUAGGACGGCCUCGAUUCCGAACGCGAGGCUGUAGGGGGACUCUCCAGUCGCUAUCUUGGGGGUGGUGCGUAACGACCAUAAGACGCUCGGGAGUUUGUCCGUCCAGGCUAAUCGGGCUGCGGACACUCUUCUUUUGAGCCCGUCUAGAAUGGAUCGAUUGGUUACUUCCGCUAGCCCGUUCGUCUGAGGGUGAGCCACCGAGCUGAACCUCAGUUGGAUUCCAUGGCUUGCGCAGAACUCCCGGAACCUUCUACCGGCGAACUGAGGCCCGUUGUCCGUAAUGAUGGUUUUGGGCAAGCCAAACCGGGUCACCAAGUUCCUCCACACGAACUUCUCCAUUUGCCGCUCCGUGAUCGUGGCCAGUGGUUCGGCCUCGACCCACUUUGUGAAAUAAUCCACUCCCACGACGAUGUACUUCCGCUGUCCCGAGGCUAGUGGGAAAGGCCCGAGCAGGUCCAGACCCCACUGCGCAAAUGGCCAUGCGCAAUCGAUGGGGGUGAGCGGGAUCGCGGGCUGCCAGGGUGUGCGGGCAUGUUCUUGGCACGAACUGCACCGCUGCACAUAAGCCUUCGUGUCGCGGCACAUGGUCGGCCAGUAGUAACCUUGGCGAAGUAUUUUGUGUGCUAGGGUUCGCCCGCCGAUGUGUUCCCCGUAGACCCUCCCAUGGACUUCAGCCAGAACCGUCUGAGCUUCAUCGGGCUCCAAGCACCGUAGGAGGGGGUAUGUGAAGGGCCGCUUAUAGAGUUGUCCACUCACCUCGGAGUACCAUGCAUGCGUGCGACACAGGCGCCGAGCCACAGCCUCGUCGGGAGGAAGGGUCCCAUCCCGCUUGAAGCAUAGUAACUCCUGCACCCACGUGAUUGGAGCGCCGCCGGAGACCGCGGCUACGAUUUCGAUGGCACGGGCAGGGAGCUCGUCGAUCUCGGGCCGGACUCCGGGUGCUGGCUUCGAAGCCAGUUUAGCUAGCGCGUCUGCUCGCUCGUUUUCUCCCCUCGGAACAUUGGAUAAUGCAAAGUGAGAGAACUUGGUGGUCAGGUUCUUUACCUACGCCAGGUACUUGGCCAUGACUGGGUCCCGAGCCUCGUAUCCACCGCUGAGUUGUUCGGCUACCAGCUGCGAGUCGGUGAGGACGUGUAAGGCAUCCACUUGCAUUUCGAGGGCCAACCUGAGUCCGGCUAGGAGUGCCUCAUAUUCCGUCUCGUUGUUGGUGGCUUGAAACCCGAAGCGGAGGGAGCGCUCGAAUGAUCGUCCGUCGGGAGACCGCAGCACUAGCCCUGCACCGACGCCCUUUGAGUUGGCCGACCCGUCCACGUGCAAGACCCAUGGUUCAGGAGGUUGCUCCAGAUCCGUGUCCUCGGUCUGGGUUAAUUCUGCGAUGAAGUCAACCACGGAUUGGGCUUUGAUGGUAGUUUUGGGCACGUAUCAUACGUCAUGCUCGCCGAGCUCCACCGCCCAUUUGAGAAGACGUCCCGCAACAUCAAAUUUAGACAAGACAUGUCGAAGUGGUUGGUUGGUGAUGACCUCCACUGGGUGAGCUUGGAUGUAGGGGCGUAGCUUCCGGGCUGAUAGCACAAGCGCCAGUGCUAGUUUCUCAAUCGGUGGGUAUCGUUCCUCCGGCCCGUUUAGGACAUGGCUGACAUAGUAGACCGGUAGCUGCUCGCCGGAGUUUUCUUUGAUCAGAAUAGAACUGACUGCGUGCUGGGAGGCAGCCAAGUAGAGGCCGAUCUUUUCCCCGGGAGAGACAGAGGCAAGUCGGGGGAGGCUGGCCAAGUGUUGCUUCAUUUGCUUGAAGGCUUCCUCGUACUCCGCCGUCCAUUGAAAAUUCUUCGGGUUCUUCAGCGCCCUGAAGAAGGGGAGGCAGCGAUCGCCCGAUCGGGCAAGGAAGCGUGACAUGGCAACGAGUCUCCCGUUAAGGCGCUGCAGGUCUUUGAUCGUCCGAGGCGACUGCAUGUUGACAAUUGCCUGGACCUUCUCUGGGUUGGCAUCGAUCCCUCUUUCGUGUAUGAUGAACCCGAGGAAUUUUCCCGAGGUGACGCCGAAAGCGCACUUCGCGGGGUUAAGACGCAUGCCGAACCUGCGUAGCGUGGCGAAUGUCUCGACCAGGUCGGUAAGAUGAGUUCUUGCCUCUUGGCUUUUCACGAUCAAGUCAUCGACGUAAACUUCCAUGUUUCGCCCGAUCUGGUGGGCGAACAUCUUGUUCACUGUUCUUUGGUACGUAGCCCCGACGUUCUUCAAUCCGAAAGGCAUGACUUUAUAAAAGUAUACCCCUUGAUCGGUGAGGAAGGCCGUGUGCUCUUGGUCUUCGGGCGCUAUUCUGAUCUGGUUGUAUCCUGAGAAGGCAUCCAUAAAUGAGAGGCGGGCGUGUCCGGCUGUGGCAUCUACCAACUGGUCGAUCUUUGGGAGGGGGUAGCAACCUUUAGGGCAUGCAUUGUUGAGGCUGGUGUAGUCAACGCACAUCCUCCAGUUUCUAUUAUGUUUCCUUACGAGGUCUACAUUGGAUAGCCAUCGCGGGUAUCUGGCUUCUUCUAUGAAGCUGACCGCUAAAAGUUGGUCCACUUCUUCUCGUAUGGCGAGUUGCCGAUCAGGGGCUUGGCGCCUGGGCUUUUGCUUUACCGGGCGAGCAUCGGGUGAGAUGCUGAGGCGAUGUUGCGCGACCUCUGGGUCGACGCCCGUCAUGUCAGAUGGCGACUAGGCGAAGACGUCGGCAUUUUCCUGUAGGAGACCGACGAGCUACUUUCGUUCCUGCUCGGGUAACUCCAACCCGAUUUUGACCGUCUGAUCCGGACGCUCUUCUAGCAAUGGCAAGUCGACGGUGGAUUCCCUUGGCUCGGGAUGGGGGGUCGGUCUCUUCAUCUCCCGAGGAUCCUCCAGCGGUGGUUCGAUCCUCGCCCUCUUGUUUAACGAGACGACGGUCAAGUAGCAACGCCUGGAUUCUCGGGGGCUUCCCGUGACUUCCCCGACCCCGGCAUGAGUCGGGAAUUUGAUAGUUGUUAUGAUCAAGAGCACUAAGAGGGGGGGUGAAUUAGUGCAGCGGAAAACCUUCUGCGAUUAAAAUCGAAAACUACGUUCGUUCGAUAGAAGUGAUUUUGGUAAGAAAGCUGAUUCGUAAAUCACUUCAACUUUUGACUAGGAGAGAUGCAGCAAAGAUAUGAACGCAGUUUGCAGUUAUGAUGGAAAUCAGAAUAUAAGCGCAAACUGAAAUACGACGUUCGUACGAUAAAAGCGAUUUCGGUAUAAAAGCUGAUUCGUAAACUACUUUAACUUGAGAUACGACGAGAUGCAGUUAAAGCAAAGAUAUAAAGGCAGUUUGCAGUUAUAAUGGAAAUCAGAACGUAAGCGCAAACUGAAAUACGACGUUCGUUCGAUAAAACUCACUUCAACUUUUGACUAGGAGAGAUGCAGCAAAGAUAUGAACACAGUUUGCAGUUAUGAUGGAAAUCAGAAUAUAAGCGCAAACUGAAAUACGACGUUCGUACGAUAAAAGCGAUUUCGGUAUAAAAGCUGAUUCGUAAACUACUUUAACUUGAAAUACGACGAGAUGCAGUUAAAGCAAAGAUAUAAAGGCAGUUUGCAGAUAUAAUGGAAAUCAGAACGUAAGCGCAAACUGAAAUACGACGUUCGUUCGAUAAAACUGAUUUGCGUCUUAAACCCCGAUUCGGAAAGCACUGAACUUUGAAACACGUUCGUAAAAACACAGAAGGCAGUAAGCUAUUGAGGAGGUUUGCAGUAAAGAUAAGAUGCUCAAAGUAAAUGCAAACUGAGAUUUAGAGUGGUUCGGUCAAUCUUGACCUACUCCACUUUUGGCUUCCUCCACCGAUGAGGUCACCAACGUCAACUAGAGGCCUUCCUUCAAUAGGCGAAGGCCAACCACCCUUUUACAGUUUCACUCCUUUUGACGGGCUUAGGAGACAACCCUUACAGAAUUUUCUCUCCUCUCUUUACAACUCAAAACUUAGAAAAAAAGAGAGAGAAGAACUUUUGGCCUUUACAACAAUUUUGAGCUCUAAGAAUCACAGAAAAAAAUCAAGAUUUCGGUGUAAGUUCAUGCUCUUUCAGUGCUGAAUGGGUAGGGUAUUUAUAGGCCCCAACCCAGUUCAAAUUUGGAGCUCAAAACUGUCAAUUCCUGGAAUUCCGGGAUCAGGCGGUUGCACCUCUUGACUGGAGCGGUUGCAUCGCCUGGCAGAGCUCAAAGACUGAGCCUCUGGGCGGUGCUACCUCCUGUCAGGGGUGGUUGCACCUCCUGCCAGAGCUCGAAGACCGAGCUCAGGCGGUUUCACCUCCUAACUGAGGCGAUUGCAUCGCUUGGCAGAGCUCGAAGACCGAGCUCAAGCGGUGCCACCUCCUGUCAGGGGAGGUUGCACCGCCCCGUCUCGCUCGGAGACUGAGCCCAGGCGAUGCAACCUCCUGCCUUGGGCGGUUCAACCGCUUGACAGAAAUCAAGGUCCGAAUGGGUUGAUCCAUUCGGCCCAAUUCGGGUUUUUUAGGGGCCCAAUUGCCCCAAGAUUAAGUUAAUGGGAUCACCUCCCAUUUCCAACUUAAUCAUUGUGCUAACUACGAUAUUCCCUAAGACAUUUACUGCAACUUGCUCCGGUGCGUCAAUCGCUUCUUCCGGCGAGCUUCCAGCGAACUUCCGUCGAUCAUCCGAUGAACCCUCGGUGAUGCUCCUGCGGACUUCCUGUAACACCCCUCAUUUCCGAAUGUUCGUAUAAAUUUUUGGUGAUAAUGUAAGCAUCUAUUUUAAUUGAUAAAAGAAAUAGAGUAUGAAUCAGAGGUAACUUAUUUUUAAGAUUUGGGAGAUCUGUUAAAAAAAAAAAAAAAGAAUCUGAGGACCUAUAUGUAAACCCUAAGGACCUAAUCGUGAAUAUGAUAAAAAUAAGGACUAAACUGCAAAAUGCACCAAAUGACAAAUUCCACCGCUUAAGCCUCUCUGCCUUCGUUGUUAAGGAAGCAGAGGAGGCAGCUCGUGGGUGAUCAGGGAAAGAAAAGAAGAAGAAGAAGAAGAAGAAGAAGAAGAAGAAGGAGAAGANN
RNAcentral lists this long non-coding RNA (15023 nucleotides) under Musa acuminata (dwarf banana). RNAcentral describes it as "long non-coding RNA (MACU_LNC004713)". Lineage: Eukaryota; Viridiplantae; Streptophyta; Magnoliopsida; Zingiberales; Musaceae. The record is from RNAcentral.